GUAUGUGAGGGUUAGGGUUUUCAUCAUCAUCAAAGAGUGAGAAAGAGUUGAAGAUGUUUCAUUUGAGGGGAAUGUUGGCUGGCUCGAGGCUUUUCAGUUUCACAAAACAAGUUCAAUCUUAAUUGUAUGAACUAUAAGGCUUCGGACCAGGCUUCAUUCCCCUCAAAAUCUUACUAUUUCAUCUUCUUCAUCUUCUGUUUCUUCCUAUAUGCAAGAGUUAGGUUGAGAGGAACGUUGUCUGGCUCGAGGUCACCGAGAUCGAUGAGUACUUAUAGUAACUCUCAACUCAAUCUCGGACCAGGCUUCAUUCCCCCUAGCCAACUUUUGCUACCUUCAAUUCCUCCAUCAUCUUCUGUUAGUAAGGUUUUGGCCCCUACCCUCUCCCUCAAAUGCAGCAGGAAUGUUUGUUUCACGUGGGGAAGGCAAGAAAGCAUCAACAGUGUCAAAACCUAUCACAAGUGAAAUUCCUUCUCAUCAUCUGCAAACCCAUAAACCUAGCUAUGUCUUUCAAAUAACACUAUGAGUUAUAACUAUAACAGUAUCAUCACCCUUCUUCAAUUGUCAUUUCACAGUUUAAUAAUGGUUUUAUAUUUGUUAUGUAGUGAAGUAGUUAUGGUUAUGGUUAUGGUUAUGGUUAUGGUUAUGGCAGUGAUGAAUAAUGAUCAAUUAUUGAUUGAAGUUAGUAGGUGAGUGAGAUGAGAUGUGCUGGAACAGUUAACGAGAAGAAGUGAGAAUCAGGAGAAGCUAAACUAGCUAGCUUAUCUUAGCUAGGUAUCUGUGUACUGUGAUCACCAUUUCACCAUUAUAUAUCUUGUUAAUUUCCAAGAAAGCAGAAGAAAAAGCAGAUAUGUAUGAGCAAGCAAGUUCCAUUGUGAUGCAAUGAAGAGUACUUCAGAUA
Vicia villosa (hairy vetch) is the source of this 898-nucleotide long non-coding RNA. RefSeq lists it as uncharacterized. Lineage: Eukaryota; Viridiplantae; Streptophyta; Magnoliopsida; Fabales; Fabaceae. The record is from RefSeq and is a predicted model, not a curated record. The transcript has 2 exons.